GCUCAGUAGUGCUUCGCUACUACCGUAGCUGGCGGAAAUAGCUUAAUUGGUAGAGCGUAGCCUUGUCAAGGCUGAGGUUGAGGGUUCAAGUCCCUCCUUCCGCUUCCGGCUUCGUCG
Molecule: transfer RNA, 117 nt
Filed under: Helianthus annuus (common sunflower)
Lineage: Eukaryota; Viridiplantae; Streptophyta; Magnoliopsida; Asterales; Asteraceae
Description: hypothetical non coding rna
Rfam family: tRNA (bases 32-104)
About the family: Transfer RNA (tRNA) molecules are approximately 80 nucleotides in length. Their secondary structure includes four short double-helical elements and three loops (D, anti-codon, and T loops).
Source: RNAcentral